GAUGAACGCUGGCGGCGUGCCUAAUACAUGCAAGUCGAGCGAACGGACGAGAAGCUUGCUUCUCUGAUGUUAGCGGCGAACGGGUGAGUAACACGUGGAUAACCUACCUAUAAGACUGGGAUAACUUCGGGAAACCGUAGCUAAUACCGGAUAAUAUUUUGAACCGCAUGGUUCAAAAGUGAAAGACGGUCUUGCUGUCACUUAUAGAUGGAUCCGCGCUGCAUUAGCUAGUUGGUAAGGUAACGGCUUACCAAGGCAACGAUGCAUAGCCGACCUGAGAGGGUGAUCGGCCACACUGGAACUGAGACACGGUCCAGACUCCUACGGGGGGCAGCAGUAGGGAAUCUUCCGCAAUGGGCGAAAGCCUGACGGAGCAACGCCGCGUGAGUGAUGAAGGUCUUCGGAUCGUAAAACUCUGUUAUUAGGGAAGAACAUAUGUGUAAGUAACUGUGCACAUCUUGACGGUACCUAAUCAGAAAGCCACGGCUAACUACGUG
RNAcentral lists this ribosomal RNA (497 nucleotides) under uncultured bacterium. RNAcentral's name for it is "partial 16S ribosomal RNA". It matches the Rfam family "Bacterial small subunit ribosomal RNA", at positions 28 to 507 of the family's 1533-position model. The record is from RNAcentral.